This is a long non-coding RNA of Eriocheir sinensis (Chinese mitten crab), 676 nucleotides long. RefSeq lists it as uncharacterized. The record is from RefSeq and is a predicted model, not a curated record. The transcript has 3 exons. NCBI's taxonomy places the organism in Eukaryota, Metazoa, Arthropoda, Malacostraca, Decapoda, Varunidae.
CUUCUUCCGUGGCUAAAUAUUGACAAUGUCUUUACUUACAACAAAUUCUGCGCGUGGGAAGACCUGGUAUAUUUUGUUGAUCUUGGUUGGCACGAGGCAACGAGAGGUUCUCAUGUGAUGGUUGCCGAGUUGCCUUGUUUACGCCGGGCAGGUGGACGACGCUCACCUGUACGCGCUGAGACAAGGUGACCAGCUGAUUAAAGUGUGUGAACUGACAGGCGGUGACGUACGUGAGGGACAGGAAGGAGCAGCGCGUGAUAAGGUUUAUGGGAAUACGUAUGAUAGGGGAGUUGUGUCAGCGUUGAGAGAUCGGAAGAUUCCGACGAGACCAUUACAAGAUUAAGGCGUCGGCAGGUUGGAGGACUUCUGCGAGCAGACAGCCGCGGCGGUACACCGUGCCACCAUAGGUUCUUGGAUUCAUUGGAUCAAGGCUUAUUCAUAAUCAGAUUCAUCAGCUAGUGUCCCCGUGCAGUGGAGAGUGGCGAAGUGAACAACGCAACACCGGCUAGCGUCUGUCACAUGAACACAUCUAUCACACAGGCUUUUUUAUUUCAUGCCUGGUAAUUUACAAAUCUAUCAUAUUACGCGACAGGCCAUAACAAAAACACAAGAAGAAAUGUUCAUUCACAUUGAUAUUUUGCAAUGAAAUAUAUGCAAAGCAUAUGCAAUGUGAUGA